AGGAAUGUUGUAAACGAGUGGCCGUCGCUUUACAUAUUAUCUAUAAGCGGANGAAAUGAUACCAACAGGNAGGGCUUAGUAACGGCGAGUGAAGCGGCAAAAGCUCNAAUUUGAAAUCUGGCACCUUCGGUGUCCGAGUUGUAAUUUGAAGAAGGUAACUUUGGAGUCAGCUCUUGUCUAUGUUCCUUGGAACAGGACGUCACAGAGGGUGAGAAUCCCGUGCGAUGAGAUGUCUGAUUCUAUGUAAAGUGCUUUCNAAGAGUCGAGUUGUUUGGGAAUGCGCUCUAAGUGGUUGGUAAAUUCCAUCUAAAGCUAAAUAUUGGCGAGAAACCGAUAGCGAACAAGUACAGCGAUGGAAAGAUGAAAAGAACUUUGAAAAGGGAGCGAAAAAGUACGUGAAAUUGUUGAAAGGGAAGGGUUUGAGAUCAGACUUGGUAUUUUGUAUGUCUUGCUUUCGGGUGGUGCCUCUACAGAUUACUGGGCCAGCAUCGGUUUGGACGGNAGGAUAAUGACAUUGCAAUGUGGCACCACUUCGGUGGUGUGUUAUAGACUUUGUUGAUACUGUCUGUCUANACCGAGGACUGCGUCUU
RNAcentral lists this ribosomal RNA (590 nucleotides) under Scheffersomyces stipitis. RNAcentral describes it as "eukaryotic LSU rRNA". It matches the Rfam family "Eukaryotic large subunit ribosomal RNA", at positions 1 to 603 of the family's 3401-position model. The record is from RNAcentral. Lineage: Eukaryota; Fungi; Ascomycota; Pichiomycetes; Serinales; Debaryomycetaceae.